GGGGAUUUAGCUCAGUGGUAGAGCACUUGCCUAGCGAGCAUAAGGCCCUGGGUUCGGUCCCCAGCUCCG
RNAcentral lists this transfer RNA (69 nucleotides) under Rattus norvegicus (Norway rat). It matches the Rfam family "tRNA". From Rfam's summary of the family: Transfer RNA (tRNA) molecules are approximately 80 nucleotides in length. Their secondary structure includes four short double-helical elements and three loops (D, anti-codon, and T loops). Further hydrogen bonds mediate the characteristic L-shaped molecular structure. tRNAs have two regions of fundamental functional importance: the anti-codon, which is responsible for specific mRNA codon recognition, and the 3' end, to which the tRNAs corresponding amino acid is attached (by aminoacyl-tRNA synthetases). tRNAs cope with the degeneracy of the genetic code in two manners: having more than one tRNA (with a specific anti-codon) for a particular amino acid; and 'wobble' base-pairing, i.e. permitting non-standard base-pairing at the 3rd anti-codon position. Lineage: Eukaryota; Metazoa; Chordata; Mammalia; Rodentia; Muridae. The record is from Rfam by way of RNAcentral.